UACAGAGGGGGCAAGCGUUGUUCGGAAUUACUGGGCGUAAAGGGCGCGUAGGCGGCACUGUUAGUCAGGCGUGAAAUUCCUGGGCUCAACCUGGGGACUGCGCUUGAUACGGCAGAGCUAGAGGAUGGAAGAGGCUCGCGGAAUUCCCAGUGUAGAGGUGAAAUUCGUAGAUAUUGGGAAGAACACCGGUGGCGAAGGCGGCGAGCUGGUCCAUUACUGACGCUGAGGCGCGACAGCGUGGGGAGCAAACAGG
This 253-nucleotide ribosomal RNA is filed under the name uncultured bacterium. Its description in RNAcentral is "partial 16S ribosomal RNA". It matches the Rfam family "Bacterial small subunit ribosomal RNA", at positions 524 to 776 of the family's 1533-position model. The record is from RNAcentral.